ACCGCUUUUUGGCUAAGAUCAAGUGUAGUAUCUGUUCCUGUCAGUUUAAUAUCUGAUACGUUCUCUAUCUGAGAUCUUCAUUUUAAACAGAUUUUUAGAACAGGGAGACGGUCAAAGGGGCUUGCCCCGGCCACCCCACGCGUCGCCUCGGUACUGCAGUGCUUCCGAGAGCGACGCACCUUCU
Chanos chanos (milkfish) is the source of this 184-nucleotide small nuclear RNA. RefSeq annotates it as U2 spliceosomal RNA. The record is from RefSeq and is a predicted model, not a curated record. The transcript has a single exon. NCBI's taxonomy places the organism in Eukaryota, Metazoa, Chordata, Actinopteri, Gonorynchiformes, Chanidae.